AACGAACGCUGGCGGCAUGCCUAACACAUGCAAGUCGAACGAGACCUUCGGGUCUAGUGGCGCACGGGUGCGUAACGCGUGGGAACCUGCCCUUAGGUUCGGAAUAACUCCCCGAAAGGGGUGCUAAUACCGGAUAAUGUCUUCGGACCAAAGAUUUAUCGCCUUUGGAUGGGCCCGCGUUGGAUUAGCUAGUUGGUAGGGUAAAAGCCUACCAAGGCGACGAUCCAUAGCUGGUCUGAGAGGAUGACCAGCCACACUGGGACUGAGACACGGCCCAGACUCCUACGGGAGGCAGCAGUGGGGAAUAUUGGACAAUGGGCGAAGGCCUGAUCCAGCAAUGCCGCGUGAGUGAUGAAGGCCUUAGGGUUGUAAAGCUCUUUUACCCGGGAUGAUAAUGACAGUACCGGGAGAAUAAGCUCCGGCUAACUCCGUG
RNAcentral lists this ribosomal RNA (433 nucleotides) under uncultured bacterium. RNAcentral's name for it is "partial 16S ribosomal RNA". It matches the Rfam family "Bacterial small subunit ribosomal RNA", at positions 29 to 507 of the family's 1533-position model. The record is from RNAcentral.